UACAGAGGUCUCAAGCGUUGUUCGGAUUCAUUGGGCGUAAAGGGUGUGUAGGUGGCGCCGUAAGUCGGGUGUGAAAUUUCGAGGCUUAACCUCGAAACUGCAUUCGAUACUGCGGUGCUUGAGGACUGGAGAGGAGACUGGAAUUCAUGGUGUAGCAGUGAAAUGCGUAGAGAUCAUGAGGAAGACCAGUGGCGAAGGCGGGUCUCUGGACAGUUCCUGACGCUGAGGCACGAAGGUCAGGGGAGCAAACGGG
Molecule: ribosomal RNA, 253 nt
Filed under: uncultured bacterium
Lineage: Bacteria
Description: partial 16S ribosomal RNA
Rfam family: Bacterial small subunit ribosomal RNA
Source: RNAcentral